ACGGGUGCGUAACGCGUGGGAAUCUGCCCUUGGGUCUGGAAUAACAGUUAGAAAUGACUGCUAAUACCGGAUGAUGACUUCGGUCCAAAGAUUUAUCGCCCAGGGAUGAGCCCGCGUCGGAUUAGCUAGUUGGUGGGGUAAAAGCUCACCAAGGCGACGAUCCGUAGCUGGUCUGAGAGGAUGAUCAGCCACACUGGGACUGAGACACGGCCCAGACUCCUACGGGAGGCAGCAGUGGGGAAUAUUGGACAAUGGGCGAAAGCCUGAUCCAGCAAUGCCGCGUGAGUGAUGAAGGCCUUAGGGUUGUAAAGCUCUUUUACCCGGGAUGAUAAUGACAGUACCGGGAGAAUAAGCCCCGGCCAACUCCGUGCCAGCAGCCGCGGUAAUACGGAGGGGGCUAGCGUUGUUCGGAAUUACUGGGCGUAAAGCGCACGUAGGCGGCUUUGUAAGUUAGAGGUGAAAGCCCGGGGCUCAACUCCGGAAUUGCCUUUAAGACUGCAUCGCUAGAAUUGUGGAGAGGUAAGUGGAAUUCCGAGUGUAGAGGUGAAAUUCGUAGA
RNAcentral lists this ribosomal RNA (557 nucleotides) under uncultured bacterium. RNAcentral describes it as "bacterial SSU rRNA". It matches the Rfam family "Bacterial small subunit ribosomal RNA", at positions 102 to 694 of the family's 1533-position model. The record is from RNAcentral.